GAUGAACGCUGGCGGCGUGCCUAAUACAUGCAAGUCGAGCGAACGGACGAGAAGCUUGCUUCUCUGAUGUUAGCGGCGGACGGGUGAGUAACACGUGGAUAACCUACCUAUAAGACUGGGAUAACUUCGGGAAACCGGAGCUAAUACCGGAUAAUAUUUUGAACCGCAUGGUUCAAAAGUGAAAGACGGUCUUGCUGUCUCUUAUAGAUUGAUCCGCGCUGCAUUAGCUAGUUGGUAAGGUAACGGCUUACCAAGGCAACGAUGCAUAGCCGACCUGAGAGGGUGAUCGGCCAAACUGGAACUGAGACACGGUCCAGACUCCUACGGGAGGCAGCAGUAGGGAAUCUUCCGCAAUGGGCGAAAGCCUGACGGAGCAACGCCGCGUGAGUGAUGAAGGUCUUCGGAUCGUAAAACUCUGUUAUUAGGGAAGAAAAUAUGUGUAAGUAACUGUGCACAUCUUGACGGUACCUAAUCAGAAAGCCACGGCUAACUACGUG
This 497-nucleotide ribosomal RNA is filed under the name uncultured bacterium. RNAcentral's name for it is "partial 16S ribosomal RNA". It matches the Rfam family "Bacterial small subunit ribosomal RNA", at positions 28 to 507 of the family's 1533-position model. The record is from RNAcentral.